AUGCUUAACACAUGCAAGUCGAACGGAAACGAUCCUAGCUUGCUAGGAGGCGUCGAGCGGCGGACGGGUGAGUAACGCGUGAGAAUCUACCCAUGAGUGGGGGACAACCCGGGGAAACUCGGGCUAAUACCGCAUACGCCCUACGGGGUAAAGCAGGGGACCUUCGGGCCUUGCGCUGAUGGAUGAGCUCGCGUCGGAUUAGCUUGUUGGUGAGGUAAAGGCUCACCAAGGCGACGAUCCGUAGCUGGUCUGAGAGGAUGAUCAGCCACACCGGGACUGAGACACGGCCCGGACUCCUACGGGAGGCAGCAGUGGGGAAUCUUGGACAAUGGGGGCAACCCUGAUCCAGCCAUGCCGCGUGUGUGAAGAAGGCCUUCGGGUUGUAAAGCACUUUCAGCAGGGAGGAAGGCUUACCCCUAAUACGGGUGAGUACUUGACGUUACCUGCAGAAGAAGCACCGGCUAAUUUCGUGCCAGCAGCCGCGGUAAUACGAAAGGUGCAAGCGUUAAUCGGAAUUACUGGGCGUAAAGCGCGCGUAGGCGGUGUGUUAAGUCGGAUGUGAAAGCCCAGGGCUCAACCUUGGAAUUGCAUCCGAUACUGGCACGCUAGAGUGCAGUAGAGGGAGGUGGAAUUUCCGGUGUAGCGGUGAAAUGCGUAGAGAUCGGAAGGAACACCAGUGG
Molecule: ribosomal RNA, 680 nt
Filed under: uncultured bacterium
Lineage: Bacteria
Description: bacterial SSU rRNA
Rfam family: Bacterial small subunit ribosomal RNA
Source: RNAcentral